Molecule: small nuclear RNA, 107 nt
Filed under: Schistocerca americana (American grasshopper)
Lineage: Eukaryota; Metazoa; Arthropoda; Insecta; Orthoptera; Acrididae
Also listed under: 1 other name
Source: RNAcentral
GUACUCGCUUUGACGGUACAUAUACUAAAAUUGGAACGAUACAGAGAAGAUUAGCAUGGACCCUGCGCAAGGAUGACACGUUACAAAAAAAAAAAAAAAAAAAAAAA